Chenopodium quinoa (quinoa) is the source of this 632-nucleotide long non-coding RNA. RefSeq lists it as uncharacterized. The record is from RefSeq and is a predicted model, not a curated record. NCBI's taxonomy places the organism in Eukaryota, Viridiplantae, Streptophyta, Magnoliopsida, Caryophyllales, Amaranthaceae. The transcript has 2 exons.
UUGAUCUUUAUCUAACCCUAAUUUCCAACAGUUGAAAACCUCUUCCCUCUUUACUCGCCAACCGCCACCUUCAAACCAUUGAACCCUCCCUUAAUUCUCUCUCCUCCAUCUCUAUAACUCUCCUUACCCAUCAAAUUCCUUGAAUUUCAUCAUCAAAUCCUAAUUUCGACCAUUUAAAAAUUUCUCUCUACAAUAAUCCAUCUUAUUUUCUAUGACCUCCAUCCCUUUUCGACGCUCCCUAAUUUAACCCUCCACUACCUUUUCAUCUCCUCCAUUAUUGUUACUUUCAUUUCCACCAGGGACGUUUUAUCUUCAUUCUUUGCAAACUUCAUCAAUUUGUGUUACUUUUACUACCACCAUCGACUCCACCUUCACCUUAAAAUACAUCAACGGCGGCGGCGUUUGUAAUUUCUUGAAAUCUAGCAUUAUAUGGUGCGAGCCUCGACGGUUUCAGCGAUGAUUGAACAAAGAUGAUGACAAGUUUUGCUUUCAGAAAUCAAGAAGACUGAAUCUUAUUCAUUUGUUUUUUUUUUUCUGUACUUGUUGCAAAUAUAAAUACUUGUAUUUUACUGUAAUUAUUUUAAUCAGUAAAAUAUUUUAAAUCGAAAGAUUAGGGGAUAAAUUUACCGUGA